CCUAAACUGGCGUAGAGGAGGACCUUCCACCUCCCGCAUCUAAGAUCCGGUCACAUCCAAUGUCCAGACUCCUGACUUAACGUAAACAUCGUAAACAGAGUGUGUAUGUUGAAUAGUGUUGGUGUGUCUCUAACCCCCCUUUGGCUGGUAAAUCUGCUAGUUGACCCGCAGACCUUGCAUUCCUCAGCCAGGACAUAAACUGACUCCCCAUCCUGUCAGACUCGUGUCUGCCUGCUUGGCACAUCCUGCUUCCCCCCCUUUACCUAAUUCUUAAAUCAAGACAAGACAGCAAACCCCCAACUAAGCCCAUGAAAAUAACUUUUGAUUAUCAACGCAUAGAACGGGGUUCAUGUUUUUAUCUGGCGUUCAAAAGCAUCAUUUCUGAGUGCCCCUGAACGCAACAUCACAGCUCGCUAAUUUGUCCUGAAGUCUUCUCUGACAACAGAACAUCGAUCAUCUCCUCUGUGGUUGACCCUCACUGCUGGUGAAUUAUUGCUGACUCUGAGCUAAGUGGCCUAGUGUUCUCUGUCUACUCCACUUUGGACAUCUUGGUGACUCCUUGGUGAUCUGACACUAAGGUCCCACAUGAGUCAAAACACAUAGUAAAGUUGAAGCGAAACACUGAUGCCCAAGACCGACCGUGACUGUGGAAGUGACAUGGACUGUCAAAACAAUCCUGUGACAGUAUAUUGAUGUAAUACUAGCCUCUUACUGGUAAAUGUCUAUAUCUGGAGAUAUUUCACAGCAGCAAACAAGUAUUUAACUCAAUUCUUAA
Long non-coding RNA from Gasterosteus aculeatus aculeatus (three-spined stickleback), 775 nucleotides. The record is from Ensembl. NCBI's taxonomy places the organism in Eukaryota, Metazoa, Chordata, Actinopteri, Perciformes, Gasterosteidae.